CUAGGGGUUACAUACGUGGAGUUGAAUAAGAUUUUAAUUUUAUUUUCUUUACUCCUAGAGCUCGCCCCAUUCCCUCCAAUAUACACAUAACUCUGCCCCCAGAACAUCACUUUUAAGCACACUUAUAUAACUAAUAUAACUAUAACUAAUAUAACUAUAUAUAAUUAUACAUAAUUAAUUAUAUACUAAUUAUAUAUAAGAGGAAUGAGAAUCGGGACCAGCUGAAAGCUCCUGGGUGUUAAAUGCCAGAUUAAAUAAUCCACGUUGUCUUUUUCAUAGUAUUGUCAUUAAAGGAUCGUAAAACUGUGGGCUAAUGCAGUGUGAAAAUAUCACACUGAAAUGUGUAUGGUGUUCAUGCGGACAGCUCGAAAACACUCCAUCAGCCUAUAGGAUGACCUGUUAGCCCGGUGCUGCUAAACACACAGAUUUACAUUUACACCCACGUAACCUAACUGUAGAACAAUUCCUUCAUUCUCUACAAUCUUUCCUGUCACAGUCUUACAGCUGAAUAUAUUCAGCGCAGUGUUAAAUCUCCAGUCAAUCACACUGACACUCACUGACACGGUUUCACUUCAGUCUCCGGUCUAACCUGGAAGACGUACCUGUCACAAUGAGGAUGUAUAUAUGAAUGUCUUCCUCGUUCUUCCGGUCCCGGAUGGUGUAACUUCCGCCAUCGGACAUAUUCACGUCUGUCAGCGUGAUGUUGGGGUGACUGAGUGAUGCUCUGUGUGUGUAUUCAGGUUUACAGUGGAGUGAGCGGUGAGCCACUGUACAGAUCUGUUCGCCGUAUAAAUCACUCGAAUCGAUGGGCUUAUAAGUCACCUCCACUGGAUCCGGUACGGGCAAAUCCAUCACCAGAGCCUCCCCAGGGGUUAACCGAACUGAGGACUUCAACGCUGCAGAGGAAAAACAAAACAAGGAAACUCAACUGACAUCUGAUCACACCGAGCCAGAACAUGGGUUGAAUUAUGGACCAUGGACCAUUUGAUCACACCAGAACAUUUGGAUUUACAUGGGAGUUUAGCAGACUGAUGAAGCUUCACGGUUACAGAGGUCAAGUCCAGUGUAGGUAGGAUGGUACUCACUGCCAACACAGUUCUACACAGGAAACCUGCAGACUACAUGGCUAAAAGUAUGUACACCCGUGUCCAUCACACCCAUAUGUGUGUAUAUAUUAUUCUCCAAACUGUUACCACAAACUCUGAAGCACACAAUUGUGUAGAACGUCUCUGUACGCUGUAGCGUUACGGUUCCCCUUCACCGGAACGGAGUCCCAAACAUGUUCCAGCGAGACACACAGUGCACAAAGCGAGCUCUAUGAACACCUGGUGUGUGAACGUUGGAAGAAGCUAGAAGAACUCGAGUGUCCUGUACAGAACCCUGACCUCAACCCCAUUACCGCUCUUAUAGCUGAAUGAACACAAAUCCCCACGGCCACGCCCCAAAAAUCACACAUACCAGUGGUGAAGGUGAGGGUGAGGAAGAACAGGACGCGGUGAUGAAAGCUACAGGACUGCAUGGUGGAGGACACAAGACACCACCAUCAGUACCGCACAGGUGGAGACAAGUGGAGAAAACCAGGAGAUCUCCACUCUUCCUAUAGAAACGUAAUAAAUGUAAUAAUGAAGAAGAAGAAGAAGAAGAAGAGGAGCGUGAAGCUGUAAUGAUGGAGGAGAGGAGCAGUAUAUAAACCCAAUAAACUCUGCCCUGCCAUACUGUCUGCCACAGCACUCUCAAACAACACUACAUCAGAAAACACACACACACACACACACACACACACACUUCAGAAAAGGAGUUAAAUGUUACGUAACAUUGUGUGUAUCAUGUAGUAAAACAUUUCAAACAAGUAAAAUCUCCCACAUGCAAUAACCUCAUCAAAUGUACCCAAUGUUUAACGUUAGCUUGUGUGUGGAGACCAUACGUAACCUGUGUAGGAGUAAAACCUCAGAACCUCAUCAUACUGAUGAUGAUGUGUGUGUGUGUGUGUGUGUGUGUGUGUGUGUGUGUGUGUGUGCUGGACCCGUGCAGAUAUGGCUUUAUAUUAACUAAAAAGACUGGAAAACCAACAGAGACACAAAUUCAAACACAAAGGGCAGGACAG
Ictalurus punctatus (channel catfish) is the source of this 2104-nucleotide long non-coding RNA. NCBI's taxonomy places the organism in Eukaryota, Metazoa, Chordata, Actinopteri, Siluriformes, Ictaluridae. The record is from Ensembl.